This 304-nucleotide long non-coding RNA is filed under the name Gossypium raimondii (Peruvian cotton). RNAcentral's name for it is "long non-coding RNA (GRAI_LNC004416)". The record is from RNAcentral. Lineage: Eukaryota; Viridiplantae; Streptophyta; Magnoliopsida; Malvales; Malvaceae.
UCGAAUGCGCAAAUUACCCAAUGGCACAAAACGCGCGGAUCCUUCCCCGGGUUGGGUCACCGAGCGGGUAUAGGCCAUUAAACGGUGUCAUUUUGACACAUGAAGGCCUUACCUCAAACGGCGCCGUUUUGAAAGUCUUUAAAAAACAAAAAAAACCCUAGCUUCGUUUUAACAGCUUCAAAAAAAUAAAAAAAGGAGCACCCACUUUCGGCCCUCUGAACCCCAGCAGCAACCUCAACGGCAAUUCGCCGUGUGGCCACCGCGGCCAAAGACCGACGCUGUGCGAGGAAACCCCAUUUGCCCG